GAUGAACGCUGGCGGCGUGCUUAACACAUGCAAGUCGAACGGAGUACCCUUGAAGGAGUUUUCGGACAACUGAAAGGACUACUUAGUGGCGGACGGGUGAGUAACGCGUGAGUAACCUGCCUUGGAGUGGGGAAUAACAGUUGGAAACAGCUGCUAAUACCGCAUAAUAUGUCUGUGUCGCAUGGCACUGGACAUCAAAGAUUUAUCGCUCUGAGAUGGACUCGCGUCUGAUUAGCUGGUUGGCGGGGUAACGGCCCACCAAGGCGACGAUCAGUAGCCGGACUGAGAGGUUGGCCGGCCACAUUGGGACUGAGACACGGCCCAG
This 325-nucleotide ribosomal RNA is filed under the name uncultured bacterium. Its description in RNAcentral is "bacterial SSU rRNA". It matches the Rfam family "Bacterial small subunit ribosomal RNA", at positions 28 to 334 of the family's 1533-position model. The record is from RNAcentral.